Molecule: ribosomal RNA, 493 nt
Filed under: uncultured bacterium
Lineage: Bacteria
Description: partial 16S ribosomal RNA
Rfam family: Bacterial small subunit ribosomal RNA
Source: RNAcentral
AUUGAACGCUGGCGGCAUGCCUUACACAUGCAAGUCGAACGGUAACAGGUUAAGCUGACGAGUGGCGAACGGGUGAGUAAUAUAUCGGAACGUGCCCAGUCGUGGGGGAUAACUGCUCGAAAGAGCAGCUAAUACCGCAUACGACCUGAGGGUGAAAGCGGGGGAUCGCAAGACCUCGCGCGAUUGGAGCGGCCGAUAUCAGAUUAGGUAGUUGGUGGGGUAAGAGCCCACCAAGCCAACGAUCUGUAGCUGGUCUGAGAGGACGACCAGCCACACUGGGACUGAGACACGGCCCAGACUCCUACGGGAGGCAGCAGUGGGGAAUUUUGGACAAUGGGCGCAAGCCUGAUCCAGCCAUGCCGCGUGCGGGAAGAAGGCCUUCGGGUUGUAAACCGCUUUUGUCAGGGAAGAAAAGGUUCUGGUUAAUACCUGGGACUCAUGACGGUACCUGAAGAAUAAGCACCGGCUAACUACGUGCCAGCAGCCGCCGUAA